This 493-nucleotide ribosomal RNA is filed under the name uncultured Actinomycetes bacterium. RNAcentral's name for it is "bacterial SSU rRNA". It matches the Rfam family "Bacterial small subunit ribosomal RNA", at positions 355 to 857 of the family's 1533-position model. The record is from RNAcentral. Lineage: Bacteria; Bacillati; Actinomycetota; Actinomycetes.
UGGGGAAUAUUGCACAAUGGGCGAAAGCCUGAUGCAGCGACGCCGCGUGAGGGAUGACGGCCUUCGGGUUGUAAACCUCUUUCAGUAGGGAAGAAGCGAAAGUGACGGUACCUGCAGAAGAAGCGCCGGCUAACUACGUGCCAGCAGCCGCGGUAAUACGUAGGGCGCAAGCGUUAUCCGGAAUUAUUGGGCGUAAAGAGCUCGUAGGCGGUUUGUCGCGUCUGCCGUGAAAGUCCGGGGCUCAACUCCGGAUCUGCGGUGGGUACGGGCAGACUAGAGUGAUGUAGGGGAGACUGGAAUUCCUGGUGUAGCGGUGAAAUGCGCAGAUAUCAGGAGGAACACCGAUGGCGAAGGCAGGUCUCUGGGCAUUAACUGACGCUGAGGAGCGAAAGCAUGGGGAGCGGAACAGGAUUAGAUACCCUGGUAGUCCAUGCCGUAAACGUUGGGCACUAGGUGUGGGGGACAUUCCACGUUUUCCGCGCCGUAGCUAACG